Molecule: ribosomal RNA, 395 nt
Filed under: uncultured bacterium
Lineage: Bacteria
Description: partial 16S ribosomal RNA
Rfam family: Bacterial small subunit ribosomal RNA
Source: RNAcentral
CCUACGGGAGGCAGCAGUGAGGAAUAUUGGUCAAUGGGCGCGAGCCUGAACCAGCCAAGUAGCGUGAAGGAUGACUGCCCUACGGAUUGUAAACUUCUUUUAUCAAGGAAUAAAGUGAGGCACGUGUGCCUUUUUGUAUGUACUUUAUGAAUAAGCAUCGGCUAACUCCGUGCCAGCAGCCGCGGUAAUACGGAGGAUCCGAGCGUUAUCCGGAUUUAUUGGGUUUAAAUGGAGCGUAGGUGGGUUGUUAAGUCAGUUGUGAAAGUUUGCGGCUCAACCGUAGAAGUGCAAUUGAAACUGGCUGCCUUGAGUAGAGUAGAGGUAGGCGGAAUUCGUGGUGUAGCGGUGAAAUGCUUAGAUAUCACGCAGAACUCCGAUUGCGAAGGCAGCUUACU